Molecule: ribosomal RNA, 247 nt
Filed under: uncultured crenarchaeote
Lineage: Archaea; Thermoproteati; Thermoproteota
Description: partial 16S ribosomal RNA
Rfam family: Archaeal small subunit ribosomal RNA
Source: RNAcentral
AGCACCUCGAGUGGUCAGGAGGUUUAUUGGGCCUAAAGCAUCCGUAGCCGGUUGUUUAAGUUUCCGGUUAAAUCUAUACGCUUAACGUAUAGGCUGCCGAAAAUACUGGACAGCUAGGGAGUGGGAGAGGUACACGGUACUCAAUAGGAAGGGGUAAAAUCCUUUGAUCUGUUGAUGACCACCUGUGGCGAAGGCGGUGUACCAGAACACGUUCGACGGUGAGGGAUGAAAGCUGGGGGAGCAAACC